GUUUUUAUUUUUAUAAAUGGAAAAUCUGUACAGAUUUUUGGGCGGUGAUUAUUCUUUUUUUCUCAUUUUACCGGCAAAUGACUCAAAUGAAUAGUUCUUCUUUCGGUUUCUGCGUGAAGCCAAGUUUACGACAAUAAAAUUGUAUUUUCUUAAUCUAAACAGGAAGGAUCAUGACACUUUUUUAUACUUUAAAGGACAAGGUACGAUAAGGCCCGUUUUUGGCCCCAUAUUUUCUCAUUUUCAAGUCUAAUUUUGUGUUGGAAAACUACUUAUCACGUUAAAAUAUUCGCUUGUUUGGAUGAAUAUGUAGACGAAACGCGCGUCUGGCGUUCUAAAUUAUAAUCCUGGUACCUUUGAUAACUACUUCAAAACCCUUAAUUUCAGAAAAUGGGUAAGGUUAGGGGUAAAAGGGAACCAAAAACGCCAAAAGAAGAAAAAAUAACGAUUUUUUGCCAUUGCUUCUUAAAAUUUAAUACCGUGCGCCUACG
RNAcentral lists this long non-coding RNA (488 nucleotides) under Mytilus galloprovincialis (Mediterranean mussel). Lineage: Eukaryota; Metazoa; Mollusca; Bivalvia; Mytilida; Mytilidae. The record is from RNAcentral.